GCCAGACUCCUACGGGAGGCAGCAGUGGGGAAUAUUGCACAAUGGGGGAAACCCUGAUGCAGCGACGCCGCGUGUGGGAAGACGGUCCUCUGGAUUGUAAACCACUGUCCCCAGGGACGAAGAUGACGGUACCUGGGGAGGAAGCUCCGGCUAACUACGUGCCAGCAGCCGCGGUAAUACGUAGGGGGCAAGCGUUAUCCGGAUUUACUGGGUGUAAAGGGAGCGUAGACGGCGAUGCAAGCCAGAUGUGAAAGCCCGGGGCUCAACCCCGGGACUGCAUUUGGAACUGUGUGGCUGGAGUGUCGGAGAGGCAGGCGGAAUUCCUAGUGUAGCGGUGAAAUGCGUAGAUAUCAGGAGGAACACCGGUGGCGAAGGCGGCCUGCUGGACUGCAACUGACGUUGAGGCCCGAAAGCGUGGGGAGCAAACAGGAUUAGAUACCCUCGUA
Molecule: ribosomal RNA, 446 nt
Filed under: uncultured bacterium
Lineage: Bacteria
Description: bacterial SSU rRNA
Rfam family: Bacterial small subunit ribosomal RNA
Source: RNAcentral